Amborella trichopoda is the source of this 5624-nucleotide RNA transcript. It is a transcript of the gene named multidrug resistance-associated protein 11, with no coding region annotated. The record is from RefSeq and is a predicted model, not a curated record. NCBI's taxonomy places the organism in Eukaryota, Viridiplantae, Streptophyta, Magnoliopsida, Amborellales, Amborellaceae.
UUCAUACGGGGAAGAGUGGUUCCCGCUUUUGCGCGCUCUUAACUUCAGUGAGUGGGAAGAGAGAGAGAGAGAGAUGGGUUUCCUCUAUUUCAUAUGUCCGCAGUCGCCAGAGAUAUGGGAUGAUCUUGGUUACUCAGAAUGCUUCAAGAACAUGAUAUUUGGAUUUGGAGCAAAUAUGUGGACCAUAAUGUUGAUUGCUUUUCUGGGAUUGACACAAGAAAAUUCAAGAAUUUGUGUGCAACAGAUGUCAAUUUGGAGAACAGGCCUAACACUGCUGCACAUAGUACCUGCUUUUGAAAUAUGCAUAUCAUUAUGGGAUAUAUGUAGCCUUUUAAACAAAGAUUUUCAUGGAAAAACUUCAUCACAUCAUGAAUGGAUUUUCAGAUGUUCUCAGUUUGUGGCAUGGAUGGCCAUAAUGCUGAUUUUGAAUUGUAAAAGUUGGUGGUAUCUUUCUUGCAACUGGUUUCUUUCCGUUUGGUGGAUUAUUUGGCCUCUAAUGGAAGUACCUCAUCUGCAAAGAGUAUUUUCAUUAUCAGAGGUUGCACAAUGUUUGAAGGAGAGUUGCUAUUUUCUAGGGGGGAUCAUGUUUGGCCUUAUCAUCAACAUUGUUAAAAUGAAACUAUCAUCUACCUCAGAAGGCACAUGCAAUCAUUCGUUAGAAGAAGCACUCAUCUCAUCUGAAGUUGAUUUGGAGGGAAAUUGCAAGAAUGGCCCGGAUGUGAACGGCAUCAAAUUUUGGCGACUUAUAACCUUCAGCUUUGUUAAUCCAAUUAUGAAACAAGGUGCAAUUAAGCAACUUGACUUUGAGGAUUUGAUGCAUUUGCCCAAUGAGUUGGAUCCUUUAUUGUGCCAUACUAUGCUGCGGAAAUGCUGGUCUUUGGAACAAAGAAAACAUCUCAAUCAGGCAUCACUUUUCAGAGCUAUUUGUUAUGCAUAUGGUUGGCCAUACUUGCUGCUGGGCCUCCUGAAGGUUGUAAAUGAUUGUCUUGGUUUUGCCGGACCAUUGCUACUUAAUAAACUUAUAGGGUUUCUUCAGAAAGGUUCUGAGCAAUGGGAUGGUUACUCCCUUUCUCUUUGUUUGGGUUUGACAUCCAUCCUCAAGUCAUUUCUUGAUACACAAUAUACCUAUCAUCUUUCAAAGCUGAAGUUGAAACUGCGUGCCAGUAUAAUGACUCUUGUUUAUCAGAAGUGCCUUCUUACCAGCCUAGCAGAGCGAUCCAUUUUCUCGGUGGGGGAAAUUCAGACUUUUAUGUCUAUUGACACAGAUCGAACGGUAAAUUUAUGCAACAGUUUCCAUGACAUGUGGAGUCUACCUAUGCAAAUUGGAGUGGCAUUAUAUCUCUUGUACACGCAAGUCAAGUUUGCUUUUGCCUCAGGGAUUGCUAUAACCAUUUUGCUAAUUCCAGUGAAUAGGUGGAUUUCUGGAUUGAUUGCUGCGGCAACAGAGCUCAUGAUGAAACACAAGGAUGAAAGAAUCAGAAAGUCAGGAGAACUGUUAAUGCAUAUCAGAACUCUUAAGAUGUACAGCUGGGAGCUUCUUUUCUCUAACAGGCUGAUGGAAACUAGAGAAAUGGAAGUGAAACACCUAUCGACUCGGAAAUACUUGGAUGCAUGGUGUGUAUUUUUUUGGGCCACAACACCAACCCUGUUUUCUUUGUUUACAUUUGGCCUCUUCGCGUUACUGGGGAAUCAACUCACUGCAGCAACGGUGUUCACAUGUGUUGCUUUAUUUAAUACUUUGAUAUCUCCAUUAAAUUCAUUUCCUUGGGUGAUCAAUGGGUUGAUUGAUGCCAUGAUAUCUACGAGGCGGUUGAGCAAAUUUCUCUCCUGUCCUGAUAUUAAUUCUGAAAAGAUAGAACCAUCCACAGAGCAGUUGACAGCAUGCUCAUCAAUUUGCAUCCCAACAGACUCUGCUGAUGAUAACUUUGAAGAUGUAGCAAUUGUAUUCCAAGAUGCAAACUGUGUUUGGUCUAGCAGCAAAAUGGAGGAGCAGGGGAAAAACUUGAAACUCACCUCUUUUGAGAUUCCUAGAGGUUUCUUUGUUGUUGUAAUUGGAGAGGUUGGUUCGGGAAAGUCAUCUUUGUUGAAUGCCAUUCUUGGAGAGACAAGGUUCACUCGUGGUGCAGUACGUUCAUGUGGUUCCAUAGCAUAUGCCCCUCAGGUUCCAUGGAUACUAUCUGGCACCGUACGAGAUAAUAUCUUGUUUGGGAAGGGCCAUGAGGCAAAAAGAUACAAUGAAGUUGUUACGGCUUGUGCCAUGGAUGUUGAUAUUGGGCUAAUGCCUGGAGGUGACCAAGCAUUUAUUGGAGAGAGAGGACUCAACUUAUCAGGUGGACAGAGAGCUCGUCUCAUGCUAGCAAGAGCUAUAUAUCACGGCUCGGAUAUCUACUUGCUUGAUGAUGUACUUAGUGCAGUUGAUGCACACGUGGCAAGCUGGAUUUUAAAGAAUGCUAUCCUUGGUCCAUUGAUGGAACAAAAGACACGAAUUAUGUGCACCCAUAAUAUUCAGGCAAUUUCUUCUGCUGAUGUGAUUAUAGUUAUGGAAAAUGGGCAAAUGAAGUGGAUGGGACGCUAUGCUGAUUUCCUAGUAUCACCGUGCAAUGAAUUUCAGACUCUGAAAGACAUGGGCUCAUUACCUUCUAGUGUUCCUGUUGAAGGAAGCAAUAUAAGCAAUAAAAAGGGAAUCAAGGCUACUUUCAUAACUCAGAGCGACUGUAAUAUUGAUUCUUUGAAUGAACCACCUCAAAUAACUGAAGUAGAACAAAGGAAAGAGGGUAGAGUUGAAUACAGCAUCUACAAAAACUAUGCAGUAUUUGCCAGCUGGUGGCUUGUUGCGAUAAUAUGUUUAUCUGCAUUCUUAAUGCAAUCCACCCGCAAUGGAAAUGAUUUCUGGCUGUCGCACUGGGUUGAUACGUCUUCCAAGAGCCCAAAUCUAAAUACUUCAGUGCACUACUACCUGGCUGUUUUAUGCAUAUUUGCUGUAAUGAACUCCCUUCUCACCUUAAUCAGAGCAUUUUCAUUUGCUUAUGGGGGUUUACGGGCAGCACUUCAGGUGCAUAACAACCUUCUGAGUAAACUGUUAACUGCUCCUGUUUAUUUCUUUGACCAAAAUCCAAGCGGAAGAAUUCUUAACAGCAGGUUCUCAUCUGAUCAAUAUACCAUUGAUGAUUCUCUUCCAUUUAUUCUCAACAUUCUCCUGGCAAACUUCUUCAGUCUUGUGGGAAUUGCAACAGUUUUGUCCUUUGUGCAGAUUUAUUUCCUUUUACUGCUGGUGCCACUUUGGUAUAUCUACAAGAAAUUGCAGUUUUACUAUAGAUGCACAUCCCGUGAAUUGAGAAGGCUGGAUAGUGUUUCUCGCUCUCCUAUCUAUACAUCAUUCAAUGAAGCAUUAGAUGGAUCUUCCAGUAUAAGAGCUUUCAAGGCAGAGAAAAUGUUCAUGGCUACAUUCACUAAGCAUGUAAUGCUAAAUCAACGCACUUCUUACUCAGAGCUAUCAGCUAGUUGCUGGCUCUCUUUGCGUCUCCAAUUGCUUGCAGCAUGUGUUGUUUCUUUCAUUGCCAUCAUUGCUGUCCUUGGCAAAGGAGGAGGUCUUCCUGUCAGUUUUGGCACACCUGGAUUGGUUGGCCUAGCUCUCUCCUAUGCAGCACCACUUGUAUCUUUGUUAAGUAAUUUCCUGACAAGCUUUACGGAAACAGAGAAAGAAAUGGUUUCUGUUGAAAGAGUACUUGAGUACAUGGAUAUUGCUCCAGAAGACCUUCAGGGAUGCCAAUCUGUAAAUUCAGAUUGGCCCUCACAAGGAGAAGUUGAAUUUCAUCAUGUCAGCCUGAGAUAUAUGCCAUCAUUGCCACUGGCGCUUCAAGAUGUUUCAUUUUGUAUUUCAGCCGGUACACAGGUUGGAGUUGUUGGAAGGACGGGUGCUGGAAAAUCCAGCGUGUUAAAUGCCCUAUUUCGUUUGACACCAAUUUGUGAAGGGCAUAUUUUAAUUGACAGAAUAAAUGUAGCCAAUGUUGGAGUUAGAGAACUUCGCGCACGUCUAGCAGUUGUUCCACAAAACCCAUUCUUAUUUGAAGGAACAUUGAGGGAUAAUCUGGACCCCUUUAAGGUGGCAAAUGAUUCAAGUAUCUGGGAGGUUCUUCAGAAAUGUCAUAUCAGAGAAGAAGUACAGGCAGCUGGUGGGCUAGGCAUUCAUGUGAAGGAAGCUGGUGUAUCAUUCUCUGUUGGACAACGACAGCUUUUAUGCCUCGCUCGUGCACUACUUAAGUCUUCUAAGGUAUUGUGUUUGGAUGAGUGUACUGCCAAUAUUGACGCUCAAACUGGAUCAAUAAUACAUGAAACUAUUUCUAGUGAAUGCAAUGGAACCACAGUGAUAACCAUAGCUCAUCGCAUUCCCAUAGUUUUGAACAUGGAUAACGUUCUCGUUCUCGACCAUGGAAUCCUGCGAGUUGGGCAUGCGAACUUUUUUUUUGAGAAAGGCGAUAUUCAUUAAGAUAUUGAAAGAGUACAACAGAAAGAAAAAAGCACAAAAAAGAAGAAACAAAAGAAGGGAAGGAAAAGAAGAAGGCCAUGAGCAGGCGGCCACCAACACGGGCCAGAGUCAAGCAAUAGCCUCUUUUGCCAAACAGUUGGCAUCAGAAUUGGCACUUCUAUAGACAUGAGCGAAGAGACGUUCCUGCCCUAGUGUCAAUAGAAUUUCAUCCGUGAUCACACUCAGUCUCCAAGGAAUCCGGCAAAGUUGGGAGCACCAUAAAAUAACAUUGACCUAGUCGCCUUCAAUUAUGACCUUCCUGUGAGACUUGGCAAGACGAGAGACCCCAAUUUUAUCUGCUCAAAGCUCAGCUUCAUUGAUCUCAAAGGUAUAAUGGGAGCUCGAGGAAGACCAGAUUAAAGAUCCAUUAUGAUAUCAAAGAAGGCCACCAAAGCCAGACCGAGCCCCCCUAACGCUCCCAUCAAAGUUCAAUUUAAACCAGCCUAUGGGAGGUUUAGUCCAAACACGUCGGAUAGACGGUCGACGAUAUUUAAGAAAGAGUAAGUCUUUGAAGGAGGAGAAAAAGAAGGAGAUUAGGAACAGCCGUAAGAGGAAGUGAAGCAUAAGCCCGCAUGAUGACCAAGCGCUGAAUAUCUGAGAGUAAGGGGAUAAUAUCUCUCGAUCGACCCUUGAAGGUCAGCAAGUUUCUCUCUUUCCACAGAUUCCAAAGAGAGGCAGCAAUCGUAAUUCUCCACAGGUUACGAUCCAGCGAGGCAAAGGAGGGGUUCCAGACUUGUUGAAGAAAAAUAUUGGCAUCUUAAGACCAUGGGUUGUGCAGCCAGCCAAGCUGUCAACCCACUCCCAAAUGGCAGCAGCAUACUUGUAUCUAUGAAAGACGUGGGCGAUGGUUUCCUCAUCCUCCUUACAAGGUUGAACAAGGAGACCCACAGGUUCUUCUACGAAAUGGCAGCUCUAGAUUGGCAGGCUUUGCAAGAGCUUCCAUUUAAGCGGUAUUAUAUGUGUGAUAAUGAAUAUGCAUGCAUGUUUAAGUGCAUUAAGCCAUUGUCAAAUAUCAUAUAAAUUGUUCAUGUAUGAGUUAUGUAAAUGUUAUAUUUAAGGGAUGCAUGGGAAUGGAAUAGACCGAGAACUUGCCUUAUCA